GGGGCUGACCGGUUUUGACAGGAUGUGUGAGGGUGUAUGCCAGCAUGCAGGCUCAUGAGGGUAGAGCCUUAACCACUGCUCUCGAAUUCUACGUGGCGAGAAUACCUACGCCAUGGCUGCUUAAUCUGACCUAAGGUUGGAUUAGCUUAUCCGGGGAUAAGAUCCCUGGAGGCCAUCAUCGCCCGGCGCCUCUGUUUUGCGGGAGCCGGAUUUGCGGUGUCGUUCAGCAAAACUGGGCCCUCGUGUGUCGCGCACGGGUGUCGAGACAACAGCGACUAAGGAAGUGGUGAGGCUGUUGCCUGCCUUCUGUUUCCCGACAAUCAAAGUCAACUAAGCAUGUAGAACGUACACGUUCAUCUUCUCUGGACCAGGGUUCGAUUCCCUGCAGCUCCACAA
RNAcentral lists this transfer-messenger RNA (396 nucleotides) under Cyclobacteriaceae. RNAcentral describes it as "ELB16-189 sp016787645 Standard tmRNA". It matches the Rfam family "transfer-messenger RNA". From Rfam's summary of the family: Bacterial tmRNA, also known as 10Sa RNA or SsrA, is named for its dual tRNA and mRNA-like properties. Its role is to liberate the mRNA from a stalled ribosome. RNAcentral also lists the same sequence under 1 other name. Lineage: Bacteria; Pseudomonadati; Bacteroidota; Cytophagia; Cytophagales. The record is from RNAcentral.